Ostrea edulis (European flat oyster) is the source of this 1051-nucleotide long non-coding RNA. RefSeq lists it as uncharacterized. Lineage: Eukaryota; Metazoa; Mollusca; Bivalvia; Ostreida; Ostreidae. The transcript is spliced from 2 exons. The record is from RefSeq and is a predicted model, not a curated record.
AGUUUUGAUUUCGUUAACUGUGCUUAUUUAUAUGUCUAAUGUUUACUAUAACGUAACAUUUUAUUUCAGGAUUAACAGAAAACGUGGCAGAUGUGGACUUUGUUCUAGCUCAUAGUGUCAAGAAUGUUCGUUAAGACAUCCAGAUUUGGACAGAAAGUCCGGUUCAACACCUCCGUUGGAAACUGAGCUCCCAUCUGGAUUCAAACAACAAUUAACCAAUCGUAAUCCUCCAAUGUAGCGAAGAUCUUGUCGAGUUGAGAUAAAGCUAGAUGAAGCUGUAAGGACGGACGCAUUCCUAAAUACCUGUAUUACCUAAAGAAUAUUUCUUUUGAAAAUCCGAGCAUCAUACAAAUUAGGAAUUGUGUUUAUCAUGAAAAGUGAAGAUAACGAACAGUGAUCAAUCUCAUAACCCCUACAAACAAUACGAAAUAGAGAGUUGGCCAAACACGGACCCCUGGAUACAUGUAUACCAGAGGUGAGAUCAGGUGCCCAGAAGUAAGCAUCCCCUGUCGACCAGUUACACCCACCGUGAGCCCUAUAUCUUGACCAGGUAAACAGAGUUGUGAGUAGUCAAAAUUAGUUUGCUAAGAACGGACUAACAAUCGGUAUGAAACAAGUCAGACAGCAUAUUACCCAAUGAUAGGUUGUAUUGGCAAACUAGAUUGUUAUAACAACCAUAGAAUUUGUGAAUUACUGAUUUUAAAACGAGACUGUUGAAACCUCUGCACCAUCAACUUAUUUGUCAGUAGCCUGCUUCGAUUUAAAAACUGAUCAUACGCAGAACAAGCUCUUGCGUAUCGAAUCAGAUAUAUAAACACCAUAUGCAGUACGCAAGUUCCGAUAUAUCAGCUCUUCUGUGACGGAGGUACAUUCCGUAUUCUGUUGAACGUUUGGGGGGGGGGUACAAGAUGUAUACAUAUAUUAUAGACUAUCUAUGUAAAUAAUAUAGUUAUGACAGCGUAAAUUGUGUUUAUAUCAGCUGUUGGUAUACAUUAAACAUAUGAGGAAUAAUAUUUGUUUGAAUUAGGCCAUUAAAUUAGAUAUUGAUGUA